This 253-nucleotide ribosomal RNA is filed under the name uncultured bacterium. Its description in RNAcentral is "partial 16S ribosomal RNA". It matches the Rfam family "Bacterial small subunit ribosomal RNA", at positions 524 to 776 of the family's 1533-position model. The record is from RNAcentral.
GACGAGCCACACGAACGUUAUUCGGAAUUACUGGGCUUAAAGGGUGCGUAGGCUGCGCGGCAAGUUGGGUGUGAAAUCCCUCGGCUCAACCGAGGAACUGCGCCCAAAACUGCCGUGCUCGAGGAAGAUAGAGGUAAGCGGAACUUACGGUGGAGCGGUGAAAUUCGUAGAUAUUCGCAAGAACACCAGUGGCGAAGGCGGCUCACUGGCCCGAUACUGACGCUGAGGCACGAAAGCGUGGGGAGCAAACAGG